RNAcentral lists this long non-coding RNA (2747 nucleotides) under Brassica napus (rape). RNAcentral describes it as "long non-coding RNA (BNAP_LNC005946)". The record is from RNAcentral. Lineage: Eukaryota; Viridiplantae; Streptophyta; Magnoliopsida; Brassicales; Brassicaceae.
CAGAUUAGCGCUGUUGACGUUAUCAGGGUGGCCUUGCAUGAGCAUACAAGCACCAGCGCAUAGAUACUGACGGUGCUGAGGAAAACUGUGGCUGAGGUACGUCAUAACAUAAGAAGGUUCAGCAGACGGUGAAAGAAGCUGAGUGCACUGGUUUAUCACAGUUGUUUCCGCCUGUUGCCACGCCUGAAUCGACAACCCUCUCUUAUCAACCCUUCCCAUCAAAGCGUCACGGAGAAGGGACGGGAAAUGGCGCAGCGUCUUCUCUGACCACGUAUGCUGGCUCGUCGCGAGUAUCUGCUCCAACAUGGUUUGCAGAUAAACCAAGUGAUCAGCAUCCGCGAUACCGCGUGUUUUGAUUGUGAUGGCUAGAGUCAUGAUGGUUAUGCGGUUCAACGUCUCAGUGAACUCAGUUGGCCCCUGGUGGUGAUAGUAACAUAACAAAAGUUAUUAACACUCCAAAUCAUCAUGGCACAAGGGAGAGUUAAUUAAUAAUACUUACUUUGCCCUCACGUUUCACAGAGAAGAAGUCUCUGAGUGAUAAAAUGAGAUUCAUGCAUAAGUUUUCGGCUAGUCUGAAUAUACGGUGGUCGCCACGUUUUGCUUUCAGCGCAGAGAUUAUUUUGGUGACAUCAUACAUUAAGGUUUUGCUUUUUCCUUGGUAUCUGCAAAAAGGUGCAUCAGUAACUUUGUUUUUAGUCUUUAACUUGAGAACUUUUUUGCUCAUUUUCUACCUGUAUAGAGGAAGCAAACGGUAGUUCAGAAUCUCAAGAACAAGUAAAGUCACCCCAGGUUUGCUUAGCAGAGAAGCAUUUCUCUGUGCCAAUUGCUACACAAAAGUUAACGAAACUCAUGAAUCGCUUUGUGAUUAAUCAUAAGGUGAAAGAAGGAGCCAAAGUAGCUUACAGUGAAAUGCGAACGGAACAUAGAGUGAGGGGAAAUGAGAAGCAAUCUUGUGUAUGUCUCAACCAUUGCAAUGCUAGGAACAACCUGCAGGCAGAUCAUUGCAUCAGUAAACAUGUAUAAUAUCAUUGUGAGACAAAAGUAGUAAACAAACCUGGCUAACAAACAAAGCUUCUUCCAUCUGAAGAGCCAGUUUCAAGCACAAGUUCAUUGAAAAGCCAGAUAGCAAUGACAUUGGUAAUGGGGUCACUUCCUGCAUCAUCAUUACUCUUUCGUUUGGUUGUAACCCUGGUAACUCAGCCAUUCCAGAUGAAGACAACCAGUUUAUAACUGUUUCACAAGCCGGUUGUGCCAUGGUAUAGGAAACUACCCAAAACAUGCCGAUGGACCUAUCAUCCAAAUUCAUAUAAUCCAUCAUGCGCUCUCCUGAAAACAAGAAACAGAAUGAGAAGGGAGUUUUGUCUAAGCGUCUGACUAGGUAAGGAGUUGUCAGGAACUUACCUUUGCUUCUCCACCACUCAUCAAUCUGUUUCCCCUUCAAGAGUUGGUCAUUGUUUAGGUAGGCUCUAGUUGUUGCGCUUAGUGACCAAAUCCGUAGAUUCUGACAACUGCUUACGAAGUCAAGCAACACACUCUGAGGAUUAUUGGGAUCAGUUCUGUCUUCCCUGUGAAAUGAUAAGAUCUUCCUAGUCGUCUCCACCUGAGAGAUAGAGCAGAAGUUAUAAUGCCAAGCUCAAAGAAAAGGAAUUGAAUUGAAUUGCAGCUGCAAUGACCUUUUUAAGAUCGGAGUUCAAAGCAGUCAUCACAAGCUCAACGCGUAUUAUUUGAGCAAGCAACCACGUCACGUGAUUCGUUCGAAGAAUAUGGUUAUCAUCACCGUUAAGUCGCAAGACCAACUUGUCAAUAAAAUCAACAAAAUCAGUACACCCACUUUUGAUUAGAAAGAAGAAUAUAUCUGAGAAAACAAGCCACUCUUGCCAGCAAUUUGCAUCUGCACAGAGAGAGAGCCAGAAUAAAAAUGUCAAGAGGAAGCAUUUCAUGUGUCCAGAAGAAAAACGCAAGAUUUGCGUCGUGCUUGUCUAGAAUCUCCUGAAAAUAUAUAUCAAGAUGCAAUGUAAAAAAAAUGAAUCAAGUAAUGAAAAAAGUGAGUUUAAUCAAUCUUAGGAACCUUUAUAUUGUGUCCACGCUGAAGGUCAACAUGAACUUUGUGAAGCAAAACAUCUACCAAAGUGUAUAUGUUAGCAGUGACUUCUUCAGGUGAAACCUCUCUUAGAACCCGUGCCUGAUAAUAAGGACAAAUCAUACAACUAUUUCAAUUAACAAUCUGUUCACAAAUUUGAAGAGACCAAUAUUCAACAAUCAGCUACUCGGUAACUAGCCGUUUCGUAGAAAAUUAGAGAUUAGACGGAUAAUUAGCAGAGCCUAGGAGUUUAACAAAUUAUUGAUUUUUUUUAAUAUAUUUUACUUAGCUAACAUUAUUGCUUAGUUUAAUAUAUUUAGAUUGAUUUAGACAAAUUUAGAUCAAUUUUAACCAAUUUAAAAAGGUUUAAACCGAUUUGAAUUGCAUAAAUCAGGUUUUAAGAAGAUCAUUUUGUCUAUGACCAAUUUUCCUAGAACAUUGGAAGAGACGAAGCAAAACAAACCAGAUUAGCGCUGUUGACGUUAUCAGGGUGGCCUUGCAUGAGCAUACAAGCACCAGCGCAUAGAUACUGACGGUGCUGAGGAAAACUGUGGCUGAGGUACGUCAUAACAUAAGAAGGUUCAGCAGACGGUGAAAGAAGCUGAGUGCACUGGUUUAUCACAGUUGUUUCCGCCUGUUGCCACGCCUGAAUCGACAACCCUCUCUU